RNAcentral lists this long non-coding RNA (1491 nucleotides) under Macaca fascicularis (crab-eating macaque). RNAcentral's name for it is "lncRNA (ENSMFAG00000051348.1)". Lineage: Eukaryota; Metazoa; Chordata; Mammalia; Primates; Cercopithecidae. The record is from RNAcentral.
UUUUUUUUUUUGGUCAGUUUUCCUGAAAUCGUGGCUUGCUGGUGACUAUUACUUUCUUAGUAUUUAGAAAGAAAAAAAAAUAGAGAUGUUACCUCUCAAAUUACAAUAAAUUCCCUGGGUUAGUUAUUACUGCAGACUGUCUCUUAUCUACAGACGGAAUCAAGUAUAACUCUAAGAAGCUUAUUUCCUACACUCAAACAUACUUUAAGCUUUCUAAUCCUAACUGAGUCUCCCAUUUGUUGUGCAUAAUUUGUAGAUUAAUUUAAAAAUUAAAUAACUCAAAACACUGACUUAAGAUUUUCUUACAAAAUCUUGGAAAUCUAUGGAAGGUAAAUGUAUAUACUUUUAUAUUUGAAAAUAAUUACAAGAUUAGUUCAUUUUGUAUACAACAGGAAAAAUGACAGUAAAAAUGAAGUUAAUAUACAAAUACAUUUGUGUUAUAUAACACAAAAUAACACAGCGAAUUAAAUAACUGCAGCUAAUAUGACCUUCCACAGAGAUAGGGAACCAAUCAGUAUAUUAAUCUACAUAAUGUUUUUCAACUUCUUCAAAUCCAUAAUUGUUGAUUUUAUUGAUGACAUUCACAAAACUGUACCUUUAAAAUAGGACCUAACACUUCCUGUGACAUAUCAUGGAACUAUGGGUUUAUUGGAUGAUAACACAAAUUAAGCAAUUUAUAAGCUGCUGAAUGUUCAGAGAGCUGACAUUAACUAAACAGAAAUAUGUUAUUCAUUGGUACUUUCUAUAAAUUCAAAAACUUUUGAAUAGGGCUUAUUUAAAAAAUAUUUCUUUUGGCUUGAUCAAUUAUCUGUAUCACACACAUUUAGUCCCUACCAAAUGAUAUUUAAAGUAAACUUUGAUGUAAACUUUUGUAUCUAGUAGUGCAUGUUAUAAAAUGUAAACAUAAAAGCUUUAUUAAUGAAGAGUAGAGGAAAAUAUGCGUAACAGACUGUAUGAAAAAGAUGUCUGACAUAUUCCUUUAAUGAUCAUAUGGAGUAGAAAAACAACCAUCUUGUUUACUAUCAAUUUGUGUUCUGAUUAUCUCUUAAUGAAAAAACAAAAUAAUUUAAAGGAAUUUUUUAUAGAAGACAAUAUUUAAAUUUCAUUAACAUUAAUUUUAAUGCUUCCAUUUCGCUUCUGCUGGGUUGCUUUAACAACAAUCAAUAAUCAUCUUAGAUUAGUCUGUAUUCUGAGAUUGCUUACUUCUAGAUCUACUAGGUGGUUUCUUUCCUGUCCAUAAUGCUAGUCUAUGAAACAAUCAUUCAUUGUCCAUUGCUGGUCUCGAAUUGUAUUAUAUUCCAAUACAGAAAUAAUUUAGUUAUCACAGUGUACAUAUUUUCCUUUCUUUUUGGCUUUUUGAAACCUUGAAAGGAUAUGUACAGAUUUAUAGAAUAUUUAUACAGAAAAUAUUUUGUAGGUCAUCAGACUAAACUCUUAUAUAGAUAAUUAUUGACAACAGAUGCUUGUAAUUUUCCAUGCGAUAGCAUGUGC